CUUCAAAUCCCAAGCCAGCUUUCAUCUCAUCCGCGGUCAACUCCCAGCUGCCAGCCGCAUCCAAGAUCUCCUCCCACGCAUUGAAGAAGUGGCGAUUUCUUCCACUCAUCCCAUGAGCUAGCAGUGUCCGAGAUCCUCUCAACAUCCACGUCUUCGCCAUCCUCUGCAUCCAAGGGAGCAACCGACUUCUUCAACGAAAUCAGUUCCCAGACUAUAAUCCCAACGCCCAGAUUAAAUCUGCUACGCAUCUCGCCCGUGUCAGUUUCUUGGCCCUUAUCUUCCCACGACGUGAUGAGAUAACAGGGGUCGACAGAGG
Molecule: long non-coding RNA, 316 nt
Filed under: Phoenix dactylifera (date palm)
Lineage: Eukaryota; Viridiplantae; Streptophyta; Magnoliopsida; Arecales; Arecaceae
Description: long non-coding RNA (PDAC_LNC022404)
Source: RNAcentral